CUGAAUGGUUAUCAUACUGUUGGCUUGAACUAGUGGCUGUCCCUCUUCAAUUUUCUGUCUCUUAACUUUAUGAACCGUCACAUCUGGCUGCUAGGGGAAUGUGGUUCUGUGGGGGUCUGAGAGACUAGAUGUAGGAGUCCAAGAGCGCAGCCAUAACGGGGCUAGGAAAUGCAGUCUGUUGCAGCUGCCAAAAAACAGCUUGUGGAUCCAGAAAUAGUAGAGCAGCAGCCUGUGAGCCUGGAAUGGGUGGAGAGGAUGCCUGACAGCUGGGACUGGAAAGAUUGAGAGCUGUGUGAUGCAGUCUGAUGAGUGAGAGUUUCAGAAAGAUUUAAGAAAGACAGGCUGCGGCUAAGCGUUGGUGUCAGCAGAGAAACAGAUUCAAAAUGAAGGAAACUGGCAGAGUAUCCAUGAGAUGCUGGUGGACAUUUUGGCGGUAUUUUCUGACCUACCUCAGGCACCUGUCGGAGGAGGAGGACGAUACAUAUAUAGAAGACUUGAACUGGCUGAUGCUGUUCACAACUCUCAGUAUAACCGCUGAUGCCCCUUUCAUAGACCAGCGCUUCUUGAGCAGGACCACAAGCACAGACUGGUGGAUCACUUCAUCACUCUGGGAUGACCAGCAGUGGCUCCAGAAUUUUCACAUGAAGAAAGCUACAUUUGUGGAGUUUUGUGAGCAGCUUGCCCCAACCCUCCAGCAUAACGACACAGACGGGGGGCAGCCAUGUCAAUCUAGAAGUGGGUUGCUAUAACCAUCCGGAAGCUGGCUACCCCAGACUGCUACAUGUCUGUUGCUAACUAGUUUGUUGUUGAAAAGUCAACCGUGGGUAAAGUGGUGGUGGAAGUUUCUGAGGCAGUCAGGCGUCUGACUUACCCCAAGUUGAUGGAUAUAAACAAUAUCGCUGAAGUAGAUGCUGCUUUUGAGAGAAUGGGGUAUCCAGAUUGUGCUGGGGUCAUCAAUGGGACUCAUGCCCACAGUUUGCCUUCCUUAAGGAGUACAUAAACCGCAGAGGGUACUACAUCGUAAUGCAGGCCCUUGUGAACUACAGAGGCUGAUGUAUGGAUGCCAACAUGGCCUGCACUGAAAAAGUUCAUGAUGCCAGGGUUUUCUGCUGAUUGGGAGUCUAACUUCAUGGACAGGUUCGGACACUGUUCUGACCAAAUGAUAUUGUCAAACGGAGUAACUGUCCCCACUGUUAUUCUAGAGGAAACCACCUUGCUUUAGCUUAUGAAACUGUAUCCUCCUCACAGAGGCCAUGCAAAAGAAGGUUUAAUUACACCCUCAGUAGGUGUAGAAUGAGUGAGCAUUUGGUGGAUUGAAAUCCCACUGGCGCUGUUUACAGAACUGUUUGCACUGAUUACACUGGUGUACAGUCUGCAUUAUUGUGGCUUGCUGUGUGUUUCACAAUCUUUGUGAAUCCAAAGGAUGAGCUAUUUGGCACUGAAUGGAUGUAUGACAGUAAUGGAUUGCUAGACCGGUACACUCAGCCAGAAGGUACACUUAUCACAGCUGGAGAAGGAUACACAUGGGCAACAGAAAUCAUGGAUACUUUGUGCACUUGUGUUAUGGACUUGUCUGGAACAAUGGAGGAGGGAGAAUGGUAUGUUUUAUGGGUGUAUUUGUACAGUAAUUUUUAUAAUAAAUGAAGUACUGUUGCUGUAAUGCUACAAAUGGAGUGUGUGUGAUUGUCACGAAUGGUUAACUGGAUGAGAUAACUGCUUAUCUAGUGGGGUGGAGGCAGUGGUUUGUGUGUGACAUGAAAUGUGGAUUUUCAUUAUGGAUUGAUCUGAAUUGAUGUAUUAAGAACUUGUGUUUGGAUAAAACUUCCUAGUUGUGCCUUAUCAUGUCUUCAUUCUUUGAAAUACACAUUAUAGGAUGUGAUGGAAUGAUGGCAAUAGGCUUUUAUUUUAUUAUAAAA
Molecule: long non-coding RNA, 1916 nt
Organism: Dermochelys coriacea (leatherback sea turtle)
Lineage: Eukaryota; Metazoa; Chordata; Testudines; Dermochelyidae
Exons: 2
Source: RefSeq, a predicted model, not a curated record